GGAGGGAUGGCUGAGUGGUCGAAGGCGGCGGUCUUGAAAACCGUUAGGGAUGAAAGUCUCUCAAGGGUUCGAAUCCCUUUCCCUCCG
RNAcentral lists this transfer RNA (87 nucleotides) under Melampsora pinitorqua Mpini7. RNAcentral describes it as "tRNA-Ser (TGA) (tRNA-Ser-TGA-1-1)". It matches the Rfam family "tRNA". Rfam says of the family: Transfer RNA (tRNA) molecules are approximately 80 nucleotides in length. Their secondary structure includes four short double-helical elements and three loops (D, anti-codon, and T loops). The record is from RNAcentral. Lineage: Eukaryota; Fungi; Basidiomycota; Pucciniomycetes; Pucciniales; Melampsoraceae.